AGAUAUAUAAAUUUAAGUUAUUCAUUGGGUUAAUCAUCUGACUUUUUAUACCCCAUGGCAUAAAGUAGGCUAUAAUGUUUAACCCAUCCCUCUGUCUGUCUGUCAGUCCAUCAUAUAAAAAAGAAGAUGUGGUAUGAUUGCCAAUGAGACAACUAUCCACAAAAGACCAAAAUGACACAGACAUUAACAACUAUAGGUCACUGUACGGCCUUCAAUAAUGAACCCAUAAUAAGCCCAUACCGCAUAGUCAGCUAUAAAAGGCCCCGAUAAGACAAUGUAAAACAAUUCAAACGAGAAAACUUAACGGCCUUAUUUAUGUAAAAAAAUGAUCAGUCUGUUCUUUUCAUUGUAACUCCUUUGAAUCCACACAACAAAAUUCCAUGAAACUUUAUGUGUAACAUACUAUGUAGAUAUGCAUAUCACCAGGAAAUUAUGAUUUAAUUUUUGUCUCACUUCAGGUUGUCUCAAAGCGAAACAUAGGUAUGCUGUUUUUGUCAAUAUUGUAUUAGUUUGUGAGUUGGUCUAGUUUGUGGUAAACUACAAAUUGUAGGGCAAACAUAUUUGGUAUGCAGUUGUAUUAGCAUUUCCAUUGGCACAUCUCAUUUCCAUGGAGAUACGUUUGUCCUGCCCCUUUAGUCAUGGUCUAUUGACUUUGAAGUUUUGCUUACAUGUAUCAGUUUGUAAUUAGGUCAGUUUAUGGGGAACCACUAGUGGUAGGACAAUGAUAUUACUUAUCUUAUAGUAUCAGUUUGUAAUUAGGUCAGUUUAUGGGG
This 773-nucleotide long non-coding RNA is filed under the name Mytilus galloprovincialis (Mediterranean mussel). The record is from RNAcentral. Lineage: Eukaryota; Metazoa; Mollusca; Bivalvia; Mytilida; Mytilidae.